Molecule: ribosomal RNA, 152 nt
Filed under: Schizosaccharomyces japonicus yFS275
Lineage: Eukaryota; Fungi; Ascomycota; Schizosaccharomycetes; Schizosaccharomycetales; Schizosaccharomycetaceae
Description: 5.8S ribosomal RNA
Rfam family: 5.8S ribosomal RNA
About the family: 5.8S ribosomal RNA (5.8S rRNA) is a component of the large subunit of the eukaryotic ribosome. It is transcribed by RNA polymerase I as part of the 45S precursor that also contains 18S and 28S rRNA. Functionally, it is thought that 5.8S rRNA may be involved in ribosome translocation.
Source: RNAcentral
AACUUUCAGCAACGGAUCUCUUGGCUCUCGCAUCGAUGAAGACGCAGCGAAAUGCGAUACGUAAUGUGAAUUGCAGAAUUCCGUGAAUCAUCGAAUCUUGAACGCACAUUGCGCCUUUGGGUUAUUCCCAAAGGCAUGCCUGUUGAGUGUCA